CCUCAUCAUCCUUCCCCAGGCAAUUUCUUCCUCCUAUGUACUUGCCAACUGGCUGCCAAAUAGGUUUGGCCAAAAGGAUACAAUGGUAGGAGACUGAAAAACAGGAGAAGAUGUAACCAUAAUAUUUCAACUCUUUCUCUGCAUUGAGUGAUGUCUCUGGCAGACAAACACUAUCUUCCAGAGCCGGUCUGCUGGGGACAAGAGUGUGCAGAUGCCUAAAUGUCUGACUUGUGAUGGAAAUGCCUGUUCCCAUGGAGCCGCUGCUUCCAAGAAAGCUUGCCACAGACAAAGACAAGGCAGAAAAUGGCCUCCUCACUGGAGAUGAAAAGAAGCUGCACUGAUGAGGAAAUCUGUUCCCAACUCCUGUCACUAAAAUUUCCUCUUCUGCCUCUAGUUUUCUUUAUUGUGCACCCCCUGAAGCAUUUGCAUUUGUGUAUUGCAACACACAAUAGAGAAACUAUGAUUCUAUAACCCAAUUUUGGUAAAUGCUACCAAAGUGGAGAGAAUAAUAUACAGAAAUAUAGGGCCUCCUGAUUACUUUAAGACUAAGAUUCAUCUCCCAUUGGGCCUUUAUAUUGUUGAGAGAACUCUAAAGAUCUAACAUAUACUUUGGAACAUUUGGAAGACAACAACAAUUACCUGUGUAUCAGCUUGUAUUGGUGUAUUGCAUAGCUGUAGCUGUGCCUAUAUCAGAUUAUUAGAAUCAAUGCAUUUAAAAUACCUAACACAUGUCAGAUACAAUGCUGAGUACUGAGGAAACAAAGAUGGCAGGGUCCCCUGACUUCCAGGAGCUCACACUUUAGAAAGAUAGGCAUAUGAAUAACUAUCUGUAGAAUAUUGUGCUAAUUUAUUUAGAAAAUGUAAUCGGAACACAGAUGACAUAACAAAGAACUGUGGUGGAGACAAAGAUAGAGUUUGAGAGAAAGGUAUAGGAGAAAAGACGUUUAUGCUGGGCUUCAAAAGGUGAAUUGAAAUUUUCCUGGCUGGACAAAGAUGGAAAGGGCAUUUCAGCAGAGAUAAAAACAAUAAAGACCUCAAGACAUGGAAGUGCACGGCAUGCCUAAAGAACAUGUAAAGCUGAAGGGUUAGAAUGCUAGGUAAUAUUUCAGCAAGUGUGAUCAUCAACAUUACUAUCAUUUGGAGUGUUUGUUUAACUUUUCAGUUUCCUGAGCUCUAGACUGAACCUACUGAAUCAGACUAUCUGAAAAUGAGGAUGAGGAAUCUGAAUUUUGGAAAUGUGUGUGAUGAAUAAAGGUUGAGAACCAUCCUAUUUAGGUCGAGUCAGGAAUACAGGGAAGGACACAUUGACUCAUGACUCCAAGUAGUUCUGUGGUUAUAUGCUUAUAUACUAUUAGACUGAUCAAUUCAAUUCCAAAUGUGUUCAAUCAAAUAAAUAGAUUUCACUGUUUGUAAAUUUAUUAUUGUAAAUUGCAAAACUUCUGUAAACAGAAGCCCACUUACUAUAAAUUGAGUCAAAAGACAAAGAUCCAACUGUGCCUGUUCAAAAAUGGGAAGAUGUUUUCCAGACUGUUUUCGGCUCCAAAGAGAAUCUUCUUAUCUAACACUGGGAUCUUGAUUAAAAUCUCUCCCUUCUCAGCAGCAAAAAACUCUCUCAAGGAGUCUCAAAAGAGAGUCAGCUCAGGGGCUGGCCUGGUGGUGUAGUGGUUAAGUUUGCAAGCUCUGCUUUGGCGGCCCAGGAUUCACAAGUUUGUAUCCCAGGUGUGGACCUACACACCGAUAAUCAAGCCAUGCUGUAGCGGCAUCCCACAUACAAAGUAGAGGAGGAUGGGCAGAGAUGUCAGCUGAAGGUCAAUCUUCCUCACAAAAGAGAGAGAGAGAGAGAGAGAGAGAGUCAUCUCAGAGCUGCUCACAGCAGUCUUUCCAUCAUUGAGCUUGGUUGUAUGACUACAUAGACUUGGGUGACAGCAGAGCCACUGUGAAGAGGACAAGGCAGAGAGCAAGCUGGAAAGUUGAAAGACUCCUUGUCUGAGGCACAGAGGCUGGACCAGAAGGACUGGAUGCCUCAGAGAGACAUUGACUUCUUUUCAAUGGGCACAUCAGCAUCAGUGCAAAUUGAUGAUCCCAGAUGAGAAGCAGACAACACAAAUUCGGCAGAGCAGCGCAGUAAAGCCAGAAUGAGAUAAAAUAUUGGCAGCCACUCAAAGCUAUGCACUUUCCCAACCUGUCCUCAGAGUGAUUUGGUGCUCAUUUUAGAGCCCUAUAGUAGUCCUAGCUACCUAUCACCCCAAUAAUUGCACACACAAAUACCUGCAAUUAAGUUACUAGCUUAAAAAUUGAUACACAAUUCAGUCAGUGUUGAUUUAAUGUUUCUCAACAAAACCUUUUUUUUCCCUCUAAGGUAGUAUGUCU
This 2370-nucleotide long non-coding RNA is filed under the name Equus asinus (donkey). Its description in RNAcentral is "lncRNA (ENSEASG00005024950.1)". Lineage: Eukaryota; Metazoa; Chordata; Mammalia; Perissodactyla; Equidae. The record is from RNAcentral.